RNAcentral lists this ribosomal RNA (506 nucleotides) under uncultured Roseateles sp. RNAcentral's name for it is "bacterial SSU rRNA". It matches the Rfam family "Bacterial small subunit ribosomal RNA", at positions 941 to 1451 of the family's 1533-position model. The record is from RNAcentral. Lineage: Bacteria; Pseudomonadati; Pseudomonadota; Betaproteobacteria; Burkholderiales; Sphaerotilaceae.
GUGGUUUAAUUCGAUGCAACGCGAAAAACCUUACCUACCCUUGACAUGUCUGGAAUCCUGAAGAGAUUUGGGAGUGCUCGAAAGAGAGCCAGAACACAGGUGCUGCAUGGCCGUCGUCAGCUCGUGUCGUGAGAUGUUGGGUUAAGUCCCGCAACGAGCGCAACCCUUGUCAUUAGUUGCUACGAAAGGGCACUCUAAUGAGACUGCCGGUGACAAACCGGAGGAAGGUGGGGAUGACGUCAGGUCAUCAUGGCCCUUAUGGGUAGGGCUACACACGUCAUACAAUGGCCGGGACAGAGGGCUGCCAACCCGCGAGGGGGAGCUAAUCCCAGAAACCCGGUCGUAGUCCGGAUCGUAGUCUGCAACUCGACUGCGUGAAGUCGGAAUCGCUAGUAAUCGCGGAUCAGCUUGCCGCGGUGAAUACGUUCCCGGGUCUUGUACACACCGCCCGUCACACCAUGGGAGCGGGUUCUGCCAGAAGUAGUUAGCCUAACCGCAAGGGGGGC